GACGAACGCUGGCGGCGUGCCUAAUACAUGCAAGUCGAACGCUGAAGCUUGGUGCUUGCACCGAGCGGAUGAGUUGCGAACGGGUGAGUAACGCGUAGGUAACCUGCCUGGUAGCGGGGGAUAACUAUUGGAAACGAUAGCUAAUACCGCAUAAGAGUAGAUGUUGCAUGACAUUUGCUUAAAAGGUGCAAUUGCAUCACUACCAGAUGGACCUGCGUUGUAUUAGCUAGUUGGUGAGGUAACGGCUCACCAAGGCAACGAUACAUAGCCGACCUGAGAGGGGGAUCGGCCACACUGGGACUGAGACACGGCCCAGACUCCUACGGGAGGCAGCAGUAGGGAAUCUUCGGCAAUGGACGGAAGUCUGACCGAGCAACGCCGCGGGAGUGAAGAAGGGUUUCGGAUCGUAAAGCUCUGUUGUAAGAGAAGAACGAGUGUGAGAGUGGAAAGUUCACACUGUGACGGUAGCUGACCAGAAAGGGACGGCUAACUACGUG
Molecule: ribosomal RNA, 497 nt
Filed under: uncultured bacterium
Lineage: Bacteria
Description: partial 16S ribosomal RNA
Rfam family: Bacterial small subunit ribosomal RNA
Source: RNAcentral